Molecule: non-coding RNA, 55 nt
Organism: Salmo salar (Atlantic salmon)
Lineage: Eukaryota; Metazoa; Chordata; Actinopteri; Salmoniformes; Salmonidae
Source: Rfam
AGUAUUCACUACUGUAAGUCGCUCUGGAUAAAGAGCGUCUGCUAAAUGACGUAAA